RNAcentral lists this ribosomal RNA (404 nucleotides) under uncultured bacterium. RNAcentral's name for it is "partial 16S ribosomal RNA". It matches the Rfam family "Bacterial small subunit ribosomal RNA", at positions 30 to 526 of the family's 1533-position model. The record is from RNAcentral.
AUUGAACGCUGGCGGCAGGCCUAACACAUGCAAGUCGAGCGAGCGACGGACGGGUGAGUAAUGCCUGGGAAUUGCCCAGUCGAGGGGGAUAACAGUUAGAAACGACUACUAAUACCGAAUACGAUUGAAUUACCCAGGUGGGAGUAGCAAUUUGGUGAGGAAAUGGCUCACCAAGGCGACGAUCCCUCGCUGGUCUGGGAGGAUGAUCAGCCACACUGGAACUGAGACACGGUCCAUACUCCUACGGGAGGCAGCAGUGGGGAAUAUUGCACAAUGGGCGAAACCCUGAUGCAGCCAUGCCGCGUGUGUGAAGAAGGCCUUCGGGUUGUAAAGUACUUUCAGCGAGGAGGCGUUACUCGCAGAAGAAGCACCGGCUAACUCCGUGCCAGCAGCCGCGGUAAUAC